RNAcentral lists this ribosomal RNA (1532 nucleotides) under metagenome. RNAcentral describes it as "bacterial SSU rRNA". It matches the Rfam family "Bacterial small subunit ribosomal RNA". The record is from RNAcentral.
AGGGUUUGAUCCUGGCUCAGAACGAACGUUGGCGGCGUGGAUUAGGCAUGCAAGUCGAACGAGAACGGGUGAAUCCCGCAAGGGUGGAUCCCUAGUAGAGUGGCGAAAGGGUGAGUAACGCAUAAACAACCUGCCUUCCAGUGUGGGACAACGUCGGGAAACUGACGCUAAUACCGCAUACGCCGUUGUGAUCGCAUGUUCAUGACGGGAAAGGCCGGGACCGCAAGGCCGGUCACUGGAUGAGGGGUUUAUGUUCUAUCAGCUAGUUGGCGGGGUAACGGCCCACCAAGGCGAUGACGGAUAGCCGGACUGAGAGGUCGACCGGCCACACUGGGACUGAGACACUGCCCAGACUCCUACGGGAGGCUGCAGUCGAGGAUCUUCGGCAAUGCGCGAAAGCGUGACCGAGCGACGCCGCGUGAAGGAUGAAGGCCUUCGGGUCGUAAACUUCUGUCACAGGUUAAGAAUAAGGUUCACUGAAUAAGUGAGCCGAUGACUAAGGCCUGAGAGGAAGCCCUGGCUAACCUCGUGCCAGCAGCCGCGGUAAUACGAGGAGGGCUAACGUUGUUCGGAUUUACUGGGCUUAAAGGGCGCGUAGGCGGCCGUACCAGUCGGGGUUGAAAUCCCUCAGCUCAACUGAGGAAUUGGUUCCGAAACAGUGCGGCUUGAAAUCAUCAGGGGCGUGUGGAACUCCAGGUGGAGCGGUGAAAUGCGUAGAUAUCUGGAGGAACGCCGGUGGCGAAAGCGACACGCUGGGGUGUGUUUGACGCUGAGGCGCGAAAGCUAGGGGAGCAAACAGGAUUAGAUACCCUGGUAGUCCUAGCCGUAAACGAUGGAUACUAAGUAGCGGUGUCUCCGAUGGCAUCGCUGCCGAAGCAAAAGUAUUAAGUAUCCCGCCUGGGGAGUACGGUCGCAAGACUAAAACUCAAAGGAAUUGACGGGGGCUCGCACAAGCGGUGGAGGAUGUUGUUUAAUUCGAGUCAACGCGAAGAACCUUACCUGGGUUUGACAUGUACGUGGUAGGGACCCGAAAGGGCGACGACCCCGAGCAAUCGGAGAGCGUACACAGGUGCUGCAUGGCUGUCGUCAGCUCGUGCCGUGAGGUGUUGGGUUAAGUCCCGUAACGGGCGAAACCCUUGUCAGUAGUUACUAACAGGUAACGCUGAGGACUCUACUGAGACUGCCGGUGUUAAACCGGAGGAAGGUGGGGAUGACGUCAAGUCCUCAUGGCCCUUAUUACCCAGGGCUACAAACGUCCUACAAUGGCCGGUACAGAGAGAUGCAAGACCGCAAGGUGGAGCAAAUCUGCAAAAGCCGGCCCAAGUUCGGAUCGUGGGCUGAAAUUCGUCCACGUGAAGCUGGAAUCGCUAGUAAUCGCGCAUCAGCCACGGCGCGGUGAAUGUGUUCCCGAGCCUUGUACACACCGCCCGUCAAGCCAUGAAAGCCGGGGGUACCCAAAGUCGCCAGUUCAACCGCAAGGAGGACAGCGCCUAAGGUAAACUCGGUGAUUGGGACUAAGUCGUAACAAGGUA